CAGUCCGUCUCACCCUCUACUGUCUGUCUGUCUGCCUGUCUCACUCUGUCCGGUUCUUUUUUCCGUCUCGCUGCAUUUGAACACCGACAACGUGUCGCUCUUUAGCUACCGUUAGCAUGUUUAGCACCAGUGUUUGAAGUGUGACCCGGUUCGUUUGGUUAAAGGGGAACUGGUACCACGAACCACACGUCCAACACCACCAACAGCUGUGGUAUUAAUCAUUCAUCUGUUCUGUUCCGAGCUCUUAUGAUUAUUAUCGAUGCACACAUAGAACAAGAUCGUUCAGAUCACAGAAUAAAGUCUGUAAUAAAUCAAUAAGUGCAGUUAUUAACACACAUUUAUCCGGUUGUUCUGGGUGUCCAUUAGUUCCUGAUGCUAAAUAGAUAAUAUAUAUAUAAUAAAUAAGUUGUUUGAGUCCCAGUUCAUCUAAAACCAGGUGUUAGCCAGGAGCGGCCUUAAGUCCACACCGGCCAGCAGCUCUUCCUCUCCUCUUGGGGCAGUACCGGCUGUGGGGGGGGGCUCUUCCCCUGCAGAUCUGACUGCGUGGAUCGUAGGGCUGGGUGUUGUUGACCUGGUCGACCCGACGGACCCGGCGAGCACUACAAUGCUUUACUGCCUGUAAAAAGUUAAUAAAACGCUUUCAAAUGUUUCCAAAAGACGAAGCUUCAACUCAGUUUGUUUGGCAAAAAAGAACAGCUCUGUGAAUAUAAGGGACAGUCGAAAUGAAACGCAGCAGUACACAUAUAUCCGCUCGCUCCACUCAGUCAUGGUAGGUGUCACAUUAAACUAGAGAAGCUCAUCUUUCUGCUGAUGCCAAGCAAAACGUAAUCCGACAUAACCAGCUCACGUCAGCCCCGCAGCAAAGACGCAGCGAGGUUUUUGCAUUUUAUCGUCAAAAUGUGAAAUUCUGUGUUUAUGUCUCAAUAUUCCAUCAAAUAACAAAGCAAUUGUCAUCAACAGCAACAAAUGCUGUUUCCUUACCCUUUCUUGGUCCUUUUGAGUCUAUCCGUACAGUUCUCUGAUCAAAGUAGACGCCAUGGUGGCCUAUAUCGCAGACACAGCAGUGAUAUUCUACACAUUGCGAGCUUUCCAACGAGAGGUAACUUCGCGCCAUCUGUCCAUGCGUAACCAUUGUUGAUACAAGCGGUCUUUACGCAUUACGCGCGAGCACUUUCAAGUAUUGUAGUUUUAGUUAGUUUAGGUAGUUUUACGAUGGCGGAGAAGCAAAAACGAAAAAGAUUCACAAUACCGGAGGCCUUGGACGAAAUCCAGAACAGAAGUGAUGUCGAGGUUACAGACUCAUCUGAUAGCAGCAACGCUGAAUAUGAUGAAGAGGAGGACACCUUUUUUCUGCUGAGCAGGGAUCCAGUUUAUGACCAAGAGGAUGACCAACUGGAUGAGACCUCAGGUCCAUCUGGCACCAGCAGCACUGCAGCCCCCCAGCCCUCCAGCCCUCCAGCUGAAGCUACGUCUCCUCUUUCUAGUGAGGAUGAUGAAGAUGAGGAGUUUGUGCCACCGGCAAGGAAGACAAGGCGCAGUUCUGCUUCCUCAAGAUACAUGACACGCAGAUCACAGGGAGCCUCGGCAUCUACAACAAGAGUGUCACCCUCCCCUGCCCCAGCUCCAUCACAGUCAAAGAGGGGUCAGCAGAGACGACGUGGGCCUGCCGGUAAGCGGCCAAAGCAGGCUAUCUCUGGACGUGGUGAUGGUGAUGAUGACCAAGAGUGGUGGUGUAAUCCAGAAGAGCCAGAUGUGGAGCCACCACUGCCAAAGUUUGAACCAAAGCAUCCAUCAGGGCCCAGGAUUGACAGGACAGCAGCAUGGUCACCACUGAGCUUGUUCAAGCUUUUCUUCAGCUCCAGCACCAUUCACACAAUUCUCAACAACACAAAUGACAAUGCAGCCAGAAGAAAAGCAUCAGGUAUGCAUUUCAAAUGGUCUCCCUUUACAGUUGAGAACUUCUACAUAUUUUUGGCUGUAAUACUGUAUUCUGGGAUGGUCCACGUGCAUUCAAGGUCAGACAUGUGGAGAAGAGAGUGGCCCUACGACUUCACAUUUCCACGGAGCUGCAUGACCAGAGACACAUUUGAAGCCAUUUUUUGGUCCCUUCAUCUAUGUGACAUCAAAGAGGAUGAAGAGAAUCAGAAAAAGAAGGGAACACCUGAGUACGACCGGCUAUUCAAAAUCAAACCCCUCUACAGCCAGAUUGUCACUGCUUGCAACUCGCUCUUCCAGCCAUGCAGGGAAAUAAGUAUCGACGAGCGUAUGGUGGCAAGUAAAGCUAGAAUUGGCUUCAGGCAGUACAUGAGAGACAAGCCAACCAAGUUUGGAUACAAACUGUUUGUGUUGGCUGAAUCCUGUUCUGGAUAUACGUGGAAUUUCUUUGUUUACCAAGGAAAAACUGCCAAUGUUCAGGGGGAGGGUCUCAGUUUCACAUCAGUCAUGGACCUAAUGAACUUUGCACUGCUGGGAAAAGGUUACCACCUGUAUGUUGACAACUUUUACACAAGUCCAGCACUUUUUCAGCAACUUGCCACCAAUUGCACAGCAGCUUGUGGAACCAUCCGUCAGACCCACAUUGGCUUUCCCAAAACGAAACUCAACGAGUUACCAAAGAAGGCUGAGAGGGGAGACAUGAGGUGGCUGCGGAAGGACAACCUCCUCUUUGUCAAGUGGAAGGACACAACUGAGGUGACGGUGUGCAGCAGUUUCCACAAGGCAUACAGUGGAGACUCCACACGCAGGAGAGUAAAGGAGGAUGGACAGUGGCACAACAAAAACAUUCCUGUUCCUGAUGCAAUCAGAGAUUAUAACCGGUACAUGGGAGGGGUGGACCUGUCAGAUGCCAUGAUCCAGUAUUAUUCUGUUCGAGGGAAGACGAUGAGAUGGUACAAGACCUUCUUCUACCAUUUUGUAGAUAUUGCAGUCGUCAACUCCUACAUCCUCUUCAAGCUCUUGGCCAUCGGACGAGGAGAGACUCCCAUGAGCCACAAAAGAUUCAGGGAGGUCCUCAUGAAGGAGAUGGUCGAUAAGGCCCAAGCUGCAGUUGCUGCUGCUGCCCCCCGCCCCACUCUCAGCACCACCUGUAUGCCCAUGUACUUUGGACAAACUGCCACUGACCAGCGGAGGGUCUGUGUGGUGUGCAAGGACCAGGGGAGAAAGGUGAAGACACCGGUGUACUGCAGCAAGUGUGAUGUUGCUCUGUGUUUCACCUCAAGCCGGAACUGCUUCAAAGACUACCAUCUGAGGAAGUGAAAACUUUGAAAUCACAGCACUCAACUAGUGCAUACCUCAGGAACAUUCCUGUUAUUGUGUUUUUAUUUUUAUUUUUUUGUGUGCUUUUUCACUUUUACCUCAGUGAUGUUAUUAUACAUUACACAGUUCAUUGUUUUAUUCUUUAUUAUUCAUUAUUCUUAUUCUUUUUUUUAUUAUGAUUAUUGUUAUUCUUAUUAUAUAUUUGUUUUUUAUAUUUGUACAUAGUUUACAGGAUUGAUUAGUUUUUUAUGUUUAUGUGUUUCAUAGUCUUGUCAAAAAUACUUUUACAAGUUUUACAUGUUCAUAAUAAAAUUACUCCAUUUGGAGACAAAAUGAUACAAUUUAGUUUUUUUUAAAUUGACUUUAUACUGUGCACAAUAUAAAAAUAUAAAAAAAUAUAUUGCAAUGCAUUGAUGAAUCGAUAUUUUUACCCACCCCUAGUGGAUCGUCUCUUUAAAGCCUCAACCGGCUCAGCCUCCGUCAUUACUGCGUUCUUCCGGUGGGAACGAGAGGCGGAGUAAUUUUUGAAUUAUCGAGAUACUUCGAACUCCCGCGAGAACCUCCAACCUGCAUGUGACUUCCAUGGACCUCUGGUGACUCCUGCCCGCACAUACAUGCCCCAUCUUCAACUAUCAAGUCCUCAGAACUGAACUUGCGGCGGACAAAACCAAGCGCAGGAAGAGGAGAGAGCUCUCCGAGGAUCAGAAACACGAAAUCAAAGAAGCUUUCGAGUUGUUCGACACGGACAAAGACAAAGAAAUCGA
Molecule: RNA transcript, 4019 nt
Organism: Dicentrarchus labrax (European seabass)
Lineage: Eukaryota; Metazoa; Chordata; Actinopteri; Moronidae
Gene: cetn3
Gene name: centrin 3
Exons: 3
Source: RefSeq, a predicted model, not a curated record